AUGAACGCUGGCGGCGUGCCUAACACAUGCCAGUCGAACGGAGUCGUUUUGGAAAUCUCUUCGGAGAUGGAAUUCUCGACUUAGUGGCGGACGGGUGAGUAACGCGUGAGCAAUCUGCCUUUAAGAGGGGGAUAACAGUCGGAAACGGCUGCUAAUACCGCAUAAAGCAUUAAAUUCGCAUGUUUUUGAUGCCAAAGGAGCAAUCCGCUUUUAGAUGAGCUCGCGUCUGAUUAGCUAGUUGGCGGGGUAACGGCCCACCAAGGCGACGAUCAGUAGCCGGACUGAGAGGUUGAACGGCCACAUUGGGACUGAGACACGGCCCAGACUCCUACGGGAGGCAGCAGUGGGGAAUAUUGCGCAAUGGGGGAAACCCUGACGCAGCAACGCCGCGUGAUUGAAGAAGGCCUUCGGGUUGUAAAGAUCUUUAAUCAGGGACGAAACAAAUGACGGUACCUGAAGAAUAAGCUCCGGCUAACUACGUG
This 482-nucleotide ribosomal RNA is filed under the name uncultured bacterium. RNAcentral's name for it is "partial 16S ribosomal RNA". It matches the Rfam family "Bacterial small subunit ribosomal RNA", at positions 29 to 507 of the family's 1533-position model. The record is from RNAcentral.